CCACAUUUCUCUCUUCGUUCAUUUUCUAUCUCCGUCUAUCUACCCAAACAAUCUUUUGUCUCUCUCUCUAACUCAGUAUCUCUUAGUUAUCUUCUUUCACUUGAUUCUAAGAAAUCAUGAAUCUAACUUCUGUUCUCAGCAAGAUGAAUCGUGAGCCUAGAUCAAAAGCAACCCAAUCUUUCAGCAGAAAUUAAAAACCCUAACCCAUGUAUCCGCAGAAAUCAAAGAAAACAUUGUAACCUAAGAUCUACUUGAUUUGCUCCCGAAAUCAUCAGGUAAGGUGUUUCAUUUCUACUUUUCCCUACAAGAGAACUCCUCCAGUAGGUUGAAGAUCUCUUCACCUAGAGUAAGAAACAAAACCCCUAAAUCUAAUUCUGAACAUAACUACUCCAUAAUUCUAUUUUUGAUCUUUAACCCUAACUGAUGGGUUUUUUUUGUUGUUGAAGAAAUCGUCUGCAACUUCAUGAAGAAGGCUUUAGCCGUGUCAUAGAUUACUAUUAGUUUCAUGAUUCUCAUGGUAUUGCUCAAGUUAACAGGUCACUAGAGUUUCCAUACAGAGAGAUGAUACUGAACUUGUUGGUGUUAAACAAUCCAUUCAUUACUACCGAUUACAUGGUAUAAUUAUGUUUUCUCUUGAAUAAUCAAUGAUUUCUAUAUAUGUUUGGUUUACAGAUGUACUUAAGAUACUUGUCAGUCUAUUUGCUUUGUAGAUCUAUUUUUAUUUAUAAAUUUUAGCAGAUGACAGUUGUUUGAUGUAGUUCUUGUUUGUAUUAAGGUGGGUUUAGGUUUAUGAGUAAUGAAGCUUAAUUUGUUUUGUGUCUGAUGAGGAAUUUUAGAUUGUUCUGUAUCCAGGGUUUGUAUUGGGAUAAAAUUUUCACUAGUGGCACUGGCAACUUUCCGUCAUCUUUAUGUGCAUCCUUCAGGAACAGUUACACAAGGACUUGUAUCUGCUAUUGGUGGACUAUAACCAAAGUGUAGUUUCAUUCCGAAGAUGAGCUGGUUCAUGCUUAUAGUGAGCUUAAAAUUGUCUAGGACAUGAAUAGUUUUACAUACUCAAUCUCAAUAUCUAGGACAUGAAUGGACAAGUUUGAGAUACGUCUCUUGAGAGAAAAACUUAUUUUAGCUGUCAAAAUUUUGAGACUAAUGCUUCUCAUGUUAAACUUUAUUAUAGGAAUGCUUAUUUGUUCUGGUUUAUGCUGAUUCUGAUGAAGUGUCUGUUGUAGCAACACAUGAUUAUAUUGAAUGUUCCCUUAUGCUGGGUAAGAAAGAACUCAAAGUGUAGCUUUCUGAAAAUCAUGUUUGGCAUGGUUAGGUAUGGCUAUUAAGUGUUACCAGUUGCAUUUACUAAUGUGUGCUCUAUUGAUACAGGGUAGGUUCCAACGGAAUCAUACAGUUUGGAUGUAAACCUGACUAUGAAAUGAGAUGCAGUAACGAGAUGUGCUUGGGUUUUUGUUUUAUUCUUUUCCUAACAGUUUCAAAUUUGUCGUAAUAUUUGUUGUCGAUGCCCUUGAAAGGUACACCCAGCUUUCCAGCCAUCUCGUUCACAAAACUAACAAACCUGGAAUUUUGUUCGUUGGUUCCAUCCAAGUGAUCUUAAAAUGAAAUAGCAAGCUCUUUGACCACCUAUCAGUUCCUGACUUAAACCAAGUGCAGCAAUUUUCUAUUUCAAGUGUUGCAGAUUCCUCUUCUUCAGAAACACCAACUGACAAGGACCAGAACUAUGGAAAAGCAUUCUGGUUACGUGAAACUUAACUCAUGUUUCCUUUGUAAUUUUUUACAGUGAAUUUCCUUUUAUAUUUAUGUAUGUUUCGUAAAUUAUUUUAUAUUUGGAACCGAUUGUAGUUUGUUAUUGUAAACUGAAAUCCAUGUGUUUAGUGAAUGUUUCGCAGAUA
Papaver somniferum (opium poppy) is the source of this 1892-nucleotide long non-coding RNA. RefSeq lists it as uncharacterized. The transcript is spliced from 4 exons. Lineage: Eukaryota; Viridiplantae; Streptophyta; Magnoliopsida; Ranunculales; Papaveraceae. The record is from RefSeq and is a predicted model, not a curated record.